RNAcentral lists this ribosomal RNA (522 nucleotides) under uncultured Kocuria sp. RNAcentral describes it as "bacterial SSU rRNA". It matches the Rfam family "Bacterial small subunit ribosomal RNA", at positions 530 to 1050 of the family's 1533-position model. Lineage: Bacteria; Bacillati; Actinomycetota; Actinomycetes; Micrococcales; Micrococcaceae. The record is from RNAcentral.
GGGCGCGAGCGUUGUCCGGAAUUAUUGGGCGUAAAGAGCUUGUAGGCGGUUUGUCGCGUCUGCUGUGAAAGCCCGGGGCUUAACCCCGGGUUUGCAGUGGGUACGGGCAGACUAGAGUGCAGUAGGGGAGACUGGAAUUCCUGGUGUAGCGGUGAAAUGCGCAGAUAUCAGGAGGAACACCAAUGGCGAAGGCAGGUCUCUGGGCUGUAACUGACGCUGAGAAGCGAAAGCAUGGGGAGCAAACAGGAUUAGAUACCCUGGUAGUCCAUGCCGUAAACGUUGGGCACUAGGUGUGGGGAACAUUCCACGUUUUCCGCGCCGUAGCUAACGCAUUAAGUGCCCCGCCUGGGGAGUACGGCCGCAAGGCUAAAACUCAAAGAAAUUGACGGGGGCCCGCACAAGCGGCGGAGCAUGCGGAUUAAUUCGAUGCAACGCGAAGAACCUUACCAAGGCUUGACAUAUACUAGACCGCCUCAGAGAUGGGGUUUCCCUUCGGGGCUGGUAUACAGGUGGUGCAUGGUU